CUAGUAAUCGCAGAUCAGAAUGCUGCGGUGAAUGCGUUCCCGGGUCUUGUACACACCGCCCGUCACACCACGGAAGUUGGGGCGCCCGAAGCCACUUAGCUAACCCUUUUGGGAAGCGAGUGUCGAAGGUGAGAUCAAUAACUGGGGUGAAGUCGUAACAAGGUACC
Molecule: ribosomal RNA, 167 nt
Filed under: uncultured bacterium
Lineage: Bacteria
Description: partial 16S ribosomal RNA
Rfam family: Bacterial small subunit ribosomal RNA
Source: RNAcentral